RNAcentral lists this ribosomal RNA (465 nucleotides) under uncultured bacterium. RNAcentral's name for it is "partial 16S ribosomal RNA". It matches the Rfam family "Bacterial small subunit ribosomal RNA", at positions 28 to 507 of the family's 1533-position model. The record is from RNAcentral.
GACGAACGCUGGCGGCGUGCUUAACACAUGCAAGUCGAACGGAAAGGCCCUGCUUGCAGGGUACUCGAGUGGCGAACGGGUGAGUAACACGUGGGUGAUCUGCCCUGCACUUCGGGAUAAGCCUGGGAAACUGGGUCUAAUACCGGAUAGGAGCCAUUUUUAGUGUGAUGGUUGGAAAGUUUUUUCGGUGUAGGAUGAGCUCGCGGCCUAUCAGCUUGUUGGUGGGGUAAUGGCCUACCAAGGCGGCGACGGGUAGCCGGCCUGGGUAGGUGGACGGCCACAUUGGGACCGAGGUAAGGCCCCGGUUCCGACGGGAGGGAGAAGGGGGGAAGAUUGCAGGAUGGGCGCAAGGCUGAUGAAGAGAGGCCGCGUGGGGGAUGACGGCCUUAGGGUUGUAAACUACUUUCGCUAGGGACGAAGCUUUUUGUGACGGUACCUAGAUAAGAAGCACCGGCUAACUACGUG